GUUGGUGAUGGUGCCGGUGAUGUUUCCUCAGAAUCUGCAACUGUAGGCGGCGCCGGAGGGCUCUUAACAGUUGGUGCUGGUGCUGGUGCUGGUGCAUGAUGUCUCGUGUGCUUGUGCUUGUGCUUCUUCUUGUGCUUGCCUGGAGCUGGUGCAGGUGAGGGUACUAAUGUUGGUGGUGGGGUUGGGGACUCGACUACUGGUGUUGGGGCUGGUGCAGGUGGUGCCUUUGUUGGUGACGGUACUGGUGCUACCUUAGCAGGGGCUGGCACAGGUGUUGCCUUUGCUGGGGCAGGUGCUGGUGGCGGCUGGAUUGGUGCUGGGGAUAUCUUUGGUGGAGGUAAAGCAGGUGGCAGUACCGGUGGUGGUGGUGGCAAUGCUGGUUCUUGGGAUGGAGUUGAGACAGGUGGUGAGAUUUGAGGGGGUGAAACAGUUGGGCUUGAAGACGGAGUUAUUUUAGGUGAUGGUGAUGAUACAGGUGUGGUUGCAGGAGGAGUUGAUACUACUACUGGGGGUGGUGGUGUCGCUGCAGUUGGUAUGGUAGAUGGAGGUGGUACUGUAUUUGGCGUGGUAGAAGGUGAAGCAGAAGGCGCUUGUGCAUCAGCAAUGGCUAGCAGAAGGGCAAGGCAGGUAAAUAUUCGAACCCAUAAAGGUGAAGCCAUUUGUUGAUGGGGAAAUUGCUUGGAAGAGUUGUGUUUAUAAAAAAAAUAGAAGAAAGAGGGGGGUGGUUGUAGAAGCUAGAGGAGUUUGGUGAAAUGUUGAGGGAGAAACGUAGUUUUCAGUGAUUGGUACAU
This 791-nucleotide long non-coding RNA is filed under the name Panax ginseng (ginseng). Its description in RNAcentral is "long non-coding RNA (PGIN_LNC017272)". Lineage: Eukaryota; Viridiplantae; Streptophyta; Magnoliopsida; Apiales; Araliaceae. The record is from RNAcentral.